UACGCAGGGGGCUAGCGUUGCUCGGAAUCACUGGGCGUAAAGGGUGCGUAGGCGGGUCUUUAAGUCAGGGGUGAAAUCCUGGAGCUCAACUCCAGAACUGCCUUUGAUACUGAAGAUCUUGAGUUCGGGAGAGGUGAGUGGAACUGCGAGUGUAGAGGUGAAAUUCGUAGAUAUUCGCAAGAACACCAGUGGCGAAGGCGGCUCACUGGCCCGAUACUGACGCUGAUGCACGAAAGCGUGGGGAGCAAACAGG
RNAcentral lists this ribosomal RNA (253 nucleotides) under uncultured bacterium. RNAcentral describes it as "partial 16S ribosomal RNA". It matches the Rfam family "Bacterial small subunit ribosomal RNA", at positions 524 to 776 of the family's 1533-position model. The record is from RNAcentral.